This 1317-nucleotide ribosomal RNA is filed under the name Boeremia exigua var. kasensis (nom. inval.). Its description in RNAcentral is "Boeremia sp. YH-2018b partial large subunit ribosomal RNA". Lineage: Eukaryota; Fungi; Ascomycota; Dothideomycetes; Pleosporales; Didymellaceae. The record is from RNAcentral.
CCCUAGUAACGGCGAGUGAAGCGGCAACAGCUCAAAUUUGAAAUCUGGCGUCUUUGGCGUCCGAGUUGUAAUUUGCAGAGGGCGCUUUGGCAUUGGCAGCGGUCCAAGUUCCUUGGAACAGGACGUCACAGAGGGUGAGAAUCCCGUACGUGGUCGCUAGCCUUUACCGUGUAAAGCCCCUUCGACGAGUCGAGUUGUUUGGGAAUGCAGCUCUAAAUGGGAGGUAAAUUUCUUCUAAAGCUAAAUACUGGCCAGAGACCGAUAGCGCACAAGUAGAGUGAUCGAAAGAUGAAAAGCACUUUGGAAAGAGAGUUAAAAAGCACGUGAAAUUGUUGAAAGGGAAGCGCUUGCAGCCAGACUUSCCUGUAGUUGCUCAUCCGGGUUUUUACCCGGUGCACUCUUCUAUAGGCAGGCCAGCAUCAGUUUGGGCGGUUGGAUAAAGGUCUCUGUCACGUACCUCCUCUCGGGGAGAACUUAUAGGGGAGACGUAAUGCAACCAGCCUGGACUGAGGUCCGCGCAUCUGCUAGGAUGCUGGCGUAAUGGCUGUAAGCGGCCCGUCUUGAAACACGGACCAAGGAGUCUAACAUCUAUGCGAGUGUUUGGGUGUCAAGCCCGAGCGCGUAAUGAAAGUGAACGGAGGUGGGAACCUUUCGGGGUGCACCAUCGACCGAUCCUGAUGUCUUCGGAUGGAUUUGAGUAAGAGCAUAGCUGUUGGGACCCGAAAGAUGGUGAACUAUGCUUGAAUAGGGUGAAGCCAGAGGAAACUCUGGUGGAGGCUCGCAGCGGUUCUGACGUGCAAAUCGAUCGUCAAAUUUGGGCAUAGGGGCGAAAGACUAAUCGAACUAUCUAGUAGCUGGUUCCUGCCGAAGUUUCCCUCAGGAUAGCAGUAACGUUUUCAGUUUUAUGAGGUAAAGCGAAUGAUUAGAGGCCUGGGGGUUGAAACAACCUUCACCUAUUCUCAAACUUUAAAUAUGUAAGAAGUCCUUGUUACUUAAUUGAACGUGGACAGUUGAAUGUAUCGUUACUAGUGGGCCAUUUUUGGUAAGCAGAACUGGCGAUGCGGGAUGAACCGAACGCGGGGUUAAGGUGCCAGAAUAUACGCUCAUCAGACACCACAAAAGGUGUUAGUUCAUCUAGACAGCAGGACGGUGGCCAUGGAAGUCGGAAUCCGCUAAGGAGUGUGUAACAACUCACCUGCCGAAUGAACUAGCCCUGAAAAUGGAUGGCGCUCAAGCGUAUUACCCAUACCCCGCCGCUGGGGCAAGAUUUAAGCCCCAGCGAGUAGGCAGGCGUGGAGGUCCGUGACGAAGCCUGGG